UACAGAGGUCUCAAGCGUUGUUCGGAUUCAUUGGGCGUAAAGGGUGUGUAGGUGGCGCGCUAAGUCGGGUGUGAAAUUUCGGAGCUUAACUCCGAAACUGCAUUCGAUACUGGCGUGCUUGAGGACUGGAGAGGAGACCGGAAUUCAUGGUGUAGCAGUGAAAUGCGUAGAGAUCAUGAGGAAGACCAGUGGCGAAGGCGGGUCUCUGGACAGUUCCUGACACUGAGACACGAAGGCCAGGGGAGCAAACGGG
Molecule: ribosomal RNA, 253 nt
Filed under: uncultured bacterium
Lineage: Bacteria
Description: partial 16S ribosomal RNA
Rfam family: Bacterial small subunit ribosomal RNA
Source: RNAcentral